This 424-nucleotide ribosomal RNA is filed under the name uncultured bacterium. RNAcentral's name for it is "bacterial SSU rRNA". It matches the Rfam family "Bacterial small subunit ribosomal RNA", at positions 356 to 772 of the family's 1533-position model. The record is from RNAcentral.
CGAGAAUCUUCCGCAAUGGGCGAAAGCCUGACGGAGCGACGCCGCGUGGAGGACGAAGGCCUUCGGGUUGUAAACUCCUGUCACGAGCUAAGAAGGUCGGCCUACGAACAGUGGGACGACUUGACGUAAGCCCGAGAGGAAGCACUGGCUAACUCUGUGCCAGCAGCCGCGGUAAUACAGAGAGUGCAAACGUUGUUCGGAAUUACUGGGCUUAAAGCGCACGUAGGUGGCAUCGUAAGUGUCAGGUGAAAUCCCACGGCUCACCCGUGGAACUGCCUGGCAUACUGCGAUGCUCGAGUGUGGUAGGGGAGAGCGGAACUCUUGGUGGAGCGGUGAAAUGCGUAGAUAUCAAGAGGAACACCGGUGGCGAAGGCGGCUCUCUGGUCCACAACUGACACUGAGGUGCGAAAGCUAGGGGAGCAAA